CCCGCCCGCGAGGCCCCGCAGGGCGGGACGGACCCGCCCCGCCCCGCCCCGCCCGAGCCGCCGGCCAUGAGGGCUCCGGGCGGGCUGUGGGGAUGGACGGAUGGCGAUGGGAUGGGAUGGAUGCCAGCCCCUCACAGUGUUCCUCGUUUUCUUGUCAGGACAGAUUCAGAGCUGGGUGGGAGCAUCGCUGGCCCCAGGUGUGUCGUGCAGUGAUGUCGUUGGUCAGUCAGCGUUCACAGAUUCACCGAACAGGUCAAGUUGGAAGGACCACAAACUCAGUGAGUUGCCUGCAGGUUGGGGAAGGACUUGUAAUGAAGGAGGAUUGAAGCAGGAAGAACUGCCAUUGUGCCUCACUCACUCACUCCCUGCCUCAAGGUCCAGGAGGUGGUCGAUAUCCCCUGCACACUGGGCAGAGGUGCCUUCUGAGGCUGCUGGAGGAUCAUCACCUUUCUGUUAACGCUGGGAUCUCACCUACCACGGCAUUCAACUCAAUACCAUGCUGUGAUAAAACACUAACAGCACCCUGCUCCUCUCCUUCCAUUCUGCUCUCCUCCCUACUUCGGUGUACUCCUCACUUUUUGCCUGUGCUAGCCAAUAAGCAAGUUCUUCAGCAAUAUACUUUUUAAGACAAGUAUUAGCAGUGCAGCUUUGUUGGUCUCACAGCUGGAACCAGUCCCUCUUAGGCUGGUGCCUUCCCAGAAUGCUCACUAAAAAUAAAACUUUUCAAGAUAUGUGAAUAAUUUAUUGUCCUUGUAUGACAAAUGACAACACUCCAUGGCUAAAUUGCCCUUUUUUACUUAUCAACUGCUGCAUCCAUCAUUUCCAAUAAAAAUAAAGCCAGCAGUUAUCUCUGGGAAGAGCAUGUCAUGUAACCAGUCAUGCUGAGAAAAGAAAGUGAUGUCUCCUCAGGUCAGAAGGAAUAAAUUUUUGCAGGUAGAACAAACUAAACAUUCCAAAAGCUGCCUGAGAAACUGAAGACUCAUCAGUUUUAAACCUGUCAUUGUUUAUCAUAGGUAAGGGUCUCUGUUUUGUUAUUUGAGGAUGUGCCCGUAUUUUAAUCUCUGCUGUAUAAAGUCAAAUUCACCAUAUUGUCUUACACAAUGGUGCUGCUCUGUGCUGCGGACUUCUGAGGAUGUUAGUGGGCAUUCCUAGAUCCAGAAUACCAUUCCACACAUCACUGAAAGGCUCUGGAUGCAAAUCCAAACCGGAUGUCUAAAAACCCAGGGGUACAAGGCCUCCUGCCACUGUUCCUCAAGGCAAAGGUGCUGCUUUUAUAACUGCAGCACUUUCUUGUGAGUGGCAGAAUAUAUUUAGAAUAUCCAUGUAAUACUGUGUAGAGAUCCACUGUGUGGGAGGUUGAUCUAGGAGUGGGACAGUGUCCUCUGCUGCUCCCAGGUCCAUCUGUGGGAAGAGACACUGAAAGCUGGAACUCUUUGAUCUUCUCCUGCUGUCUCUUGGCACACAGCGUCCACUUUGCUCUCUCCCUAAAAGUGUCAGUGGCUUUUCAUAUCCGCAGCAUCUGUUGUUCAUAAAUGGAUGAUUCCUGUGGAAAUCAUCUUGGGAAAGGUGAGUUUUAGUAUGAAAUCUUGAUAUUUUUUAGUCCUCUUGAACACUGGCUGGAGCUCUGCACAUAUAUAGAAGGGAAACCUUCCUGCUCGAGGCUUCUGUGCCUCUCAGUCCAUAUAACUGAGCAGAGUUGGGAAUUUCCAUGUCAGCAUGGAAUUUCACAUUGCUCAGAAAGGCUUUGGAGUAUGGGCUGUGGGUCCAGCAAGGAAUGCAGAGAAAUUGUGUGGUUUACAGUCAUGAGAAAAAGAGAAAAUAAAAAAGAUCUGAUGAGGAUAGGAGUUACUACCUUGUGAAAUAGGAGGUUUAGAAGCCAUUUGGGGAACAGAGAGAAUGAUCAGCAUCAUGAACAGGGAAGGCACAGCACAAGCAGGGCUGUAGGCAAAAGGUAUUUUCUAUUCCCAGGGCUAAGCCAGAAUUAAUGAAGAGCAAAGCCUGAGGAAAGCACUCAGACCUGCAGAGUCUGAGCCAGUAACCCAAUGCACUCAUUCACACCAAAUUACUGUGUGCUUUUUGUUAUUGCAUUGGACUCAGUACAAAAUAACACUCAGUUUUGAAGGGGCUGGAGUUGGUUUUGUAGGCUAAUGUUUGCUGAUGUGCAGGAGCAUGCACCUUCUGCCUGUAGCUGCUUUGGUAUCAAAAAACUUAAUGUUUUAAAAUCCCAGCAUGAAGAGCGUAUAUAUGGAAUGCCUGUGUUCCCUCCCCUCUUCAUCAGAGGGUGGAGAAUUAAACCAAAGAGCUCUGCAAAACCUAGAUUUAUUCCUUAUAAAACUGCAGUACAAGAAUGAAACAAAAUAUGGAAAUAUUUUAAGAAACAACACGUGGAAUUUUUUUCUCCCAGAGAUGGAAUUUCUCAGGAAUUUUCACUGUGAUGCUUCCCCAUUCACUUCCCUUCAGCUUGGUGCAUUGAAGAGGAGGAGCUCAGAAGGACAAAAAGCUUUGCUUUGCUCCCCUCUGCUGCAGCCCGGACCCUGCAGGAGUGGAGCCUUUGUAGUUCCCAGUGUGGCUUCUCCCCUCACUCCUUGCUCCCAGUGCUGCUGUCUGGCCUGUUCCUUUGCAGGUUUUAGCACUGAUCAUUGUCAGCUCCAGUAUCUCAGAGUUUCCUCUGUUGCUAUGUAAAAAGAAAAGCCACACAGAGAUGCGGUUUGUAUAAACCUGCUCUGUGAUUUGGGAUCUGUUUGAUUGGUGGUGAGACCAGUGCUGGUGCAGCUGAAGCUGUUUUCAGCCUUUCUGAGCACAUCUAACUCCCAUAUGUUCUCAUAAAUUCUAGAGUAUUUUCCUGUCUUUUUUAGCACAUUUGUUCUAUUUGUGAUGCUGCCUUAACGUGUGUCUCACUUGGUGCCAUUUCUGCCUUCAGUUCUUUCAUGCCAUGCUCAGACCUUGGCCAGCUUCAUCCCACCUCCCCAAAAAUCCUCCUCCUGGGCCUGCAGCACAGGAAUCUUCAAGGAGAGAGGGGGAAGAAGUGAAAAGAACAAAAUACAACAGGACAAUCAAGCCCCCUUGAGCCCUUCCUCAUACAUCUCUGUGAUGCUUCAUCAUCUCUAAAAAUAGAACUUAAGUCCAUUGGGAAUCACAACUCAUCUUUUGUUCUGUGAAGUACCCCUUGGGUUGGGAGUUUUGUUUUAAAAAGCCGUGGAUGAGAUAGAAGGGUGGGCAUUAAGGUGCUUUGUUUCCUUGUUCUCACUAGCAGAGUGAGCACUUCUUAGGGGUGAUGAUCGACUUGAGAAUGUCCAAACCAAGUUGCCCGUUGCUUUUCAGAGCUGGAAUGAAAGGAGAAGGGAGACCACAGGAGCCUGAGGCAUCAACAUGCAGGGGGAUUUGGGCAGAAGUGCAUGGUCUUCCCCAACCAGGGCCCUUCUCACCUCCCAUUACCUUAAACAAAUAGAAAAAUAAUAGCAUGAGUAAUUAAACACAGAGAAAACAGGCGGGAUCAACUGAUUGAUCUUUUGAUGAUAAAUCAAGUAAAUUGACACAGGUAGGAGUGGAAAGCAGAGCUCAAAGGGUGAUCUGUUUGAAUUGCAGUCACAAUUUGAAACAGCAUCUGUUGCCUUCUUGGGUUGAACUGAACACUUCCAUGCCUGGGAUUUUUUCAGAAUUGACUCACUAAGACUCUUCAGGGGGAGUAAAAUACUAAAAAGUUCUAUGAAAUUUGAGUUUGGGCUGCAAGGGAUUGUAAAAGACCAUUGCUCACAUUUUGUGGAAGCUCAGGUGGAAGCCUGGGACAUCCUCCUACCUCAUGGCUGUGCCAUUUUCUCAACUGGGGACUCAGAUAAAGGUUUGGCUUCAGCUUCCUCUACCCAGUGGGUAUUACUCUUCUGCAAUUUCCAGAAAAUGGCAGGAAAAAUCCAAUCUGUGCUCAGAAGGAGAGAGCUGGAAUGUGAAGUAACAUGACAAAGGCAGAGCAGAGGGACAUGAACUGACGGUGAAGGGCAAGUCUGCAGCCCUGCCUGUAAGUGAAGUUUCUCUUCAGUCAGUAUUUCACUGUGUGAGCAGUUUAUUCUGGACAAGGAACAUCUCUGAAAUGGUGCAGAAUGUUUUGUCCUGCCAGGAGCAGGGGGUGUGUGACCACACGGCCACCUUGGUGUCAUGACUCAGAGUAUUCCCACAUGGAACAGCAUCCCUGGAGGAUCGACAGGGAUCAUUUUUGUGAAGUUUCUUUUCCAUCUACGUGAUGUAGAGAAGCAUUUGACAAAUGAUGAUGGCAAGCGUAACUCUGAUGAUAAAAGGCACAUGAACAGU
This is a non-coding RNA of Taeniopygia guttata (zebra finch), 4302 nucleotides long. NCBI's taxonomy places the organism in Eukaryota, Metazoa, Chordata, Aves, Passeriformes, Estrildidae. The record is from RefSeq and is a predicted model, not a curated record.